Molecule: ribosomal RNA, 271 nt
Filed under: uncultured archaeon
Lineage: Archaea
Description: partial 16S ribosomal RNA
Rfam family: Archaeal small subunit ribosomal RNA
Source: RNAcentral
CAGCGCCAUGAGUUGCAAUCAGGAUUAUUGGGCCUAAAGCGUCCGUAGCCUGUUUGAUAAGUCUUUUGUGAAAUCGUUGGGCUUAACUUAACGUUGUGCAAGAGAUACUGUCAGACUCGGAACCGGUAGGAGUCGGAGGUAUUCUUGGGGGAGCGGUAAAAUGCUAUAAUCCCUGGAAGACCACCUGUGGCGAAAGCGUCCGACUAGAACGGCUUCGACGGUGAGGGACGAAAGCCAGGGGAGCGAACCGGAUUAGAUACCCGCGUAGUCC